RNAcentral lists this ribosomal RNA (492 nucleotides) under uncultured bacterium. RNAcentral describes it as "partial 16S ribosomal RNA". It matches the Rfam family "Bacterial small subunit ribosomal RNA", at positions 29 to 507 of the family's 1533-position model. The record is from RNAcentral.
AGUGAACGCUGGCGGCAGGCCUAAUACAUGCAAGUCGAACGGCCGCACAGUAAGAGUUUGCUUUUACGGGUGGCGAGUGGCGGACGGGUGAGGCAUACAUCGGAUUCUACUUUUUCGUGGGGGAUUACGUAGGGACACUUACGAUAAUACCGCAUAUGUUCUACGGGUUAAUGCAAUGGUUCUUGAGACCUUGCCUGUCUCAUAUAGCUGGUGUCGGAUUAGCUAGUUGGCGGGGUAAAGGCCCACCAAGGCGACGAUCCGUAGCUGGUCUGAGAGGAUGAUCAGCCACACUGGAACUGAGACACGGUCCAGACUCCUACGGGAGGCAGCAGUAGGGAAUAUUGGACAAUGGGCGCAAGCCUGACCCAGCCAUGCCGCGUGAGUGAAGAAGGCCUUCGGAUUGUAAAGCCCUUUUAUUGGGGAAGAAAAGCAGCAGAUGAAUACCCCGCUGUUCCGACGGUACCCAAAGAAUAAGCACCGGCUAACUACGUG